AUUGAACGCUGGCGGCAUGCUUUACACAUGCAAGUCGAACGGUAACAGGCCUUCGGGCGCUGACGAGUGGCGAACGGGUGAGUAAUGCAUCGGAACGUGCCCAGUCGUGGGGGAUAACGCAGCGACAGCUGUGCUAAUACCGCAUACGAUCUGCGGAUGAAAGCGGGGGACCUUCGGGCCUCGCGCCAUUGGAGCGGCCGCUGUCAGAUUAGGUAGUUGGUGGGGUAAAGGCCCACCAAGCCGACGAUCUGUAGCUGGUCGGAGAGGACGACCAGCCACACUGGGACUGAGACACGGCCCAGACUCCUACGGGUGGCAGCAGUGGGGAAUGUUGGACAAUGGGCGCAAGCCUGAUCCAGCAAUGCCGCGUGCAGGAAGAAGGCCUUCGGGUUGUAAACUGCUUUUGUACGGAGCGAAAAGGCUCCCACUAAUACAGGGGGCUCAUGACGGUACCGUAAGAAUAAGCACCGGCUAACUACGUGCCAGCAGCCGCGGUAA
Molecule: ribosomal RNA, 498 nt
Filed under: uncultured bacterium
Lineage: Bacteria
Description: partial 16S ribosomal RNA
Rfam family: Bacterial small subunit ribosomal RNA
Source: RNAcentral